CCUACGGGAGGCAGCAGUGAGGAAUAUUGGUCAAUGGACGAGAGUCUGAACCAGCCAAGUAGCGUGAAGGAUGACUGCCCUAUGGGUUGUAAACUUCUUUUAUAUGGGAAUAAAACGUUCCACGUGUGGGAUUUUGUAUGUACCUUAUGAAUAAGGAUCGGCUAACUCCGUGCCAGCAGCCGCGGUAAUACGGAGGAUCCGAGCGUUAUCCGGAUUUAUUGGGUUUAAAGGGAGCGUAGGUGGAUUGUUAAGUCAGUUGUGAAAGUUUGCGGCUCAACCGUAAAAUUGCAGUUGAAACUGGCAGUCUUGAGUACAGUUGAGGUAGGCGGAAUUCGUGGUGUAGCGGUGAAAUGCUUAGAUAUCACGAAGAACUCCGAUUGCGAAGGCAGUUCACUGGACUGCAACUGACACUGAGGCUCGAAAGUGUGGGUAUCAAACAGGAUUAGAUACCCUGGUAGUC
RNAcentral lists this ribosomal RNA (460 nucleotides) under uncultured bacterium. RNAcentral describes it as "partial 16S ribosomal RNA". It matches the Rfam family "Bacterial small subunit ribosomal RNA", at positions 338 to 795 of the family's 1533-position model. The record is from RNAcentral.